GGGCGAGUGGUGGAACGGUAGACACGCAGGCUUCAGGUGUCUGUGCUCGCAAGAGUGUGGGGGUUCAAAUCCCCCCUCGCCCA
Molecule: transfer RNA, 83 nt
Filed under: Actinomycetota bacterium
Lineage: Bacteria; Bacillati; Actinomycetota
Description: tRNA-Leu
Rfam family: tRNA
About the family: Transfer RNA (tRNA) molecules are approximately 80 nucleotides in length.
Source: RNAcentral